AGCAGUCGCCACGGUAAUACGGAGGGUGCAAGCGUUAAUCGGAAUUACUGGGCGUAAAGCGCACGCAGGCGGUCUGACAAGUCAGAUGUGAAAUCCCCGGGCUUAACCUGGGAACUGCAUUUGAAACUGUCAGGCUGGAGUCUUGUAGAGGGGGGUGGAAUUCCAGGUGUAGCGGUGAAAUGCGUAGAGAUCUGGAGGAAUACCGGUGGCGAAGGCGGCCCCCUGGACAAAGACUGACGCUCAGGUGCGAAAGCGUGGGGAGCAAACAGGAUUAGAUACCCCUGUAGUCCCUGUCUCUUAUAC
RNAcentral lists this ribosomal RNA (303 nucleotides) under uncultured bacterium. RNAcentral's name for it is "partial 16S ribosomal RNA". It matches the Rfam family "Bacterial small subunit ribosomal RNA", at positions 507 to 807 of the family's 1533-position model. The record is from RNAcentral.